Molecule: long non-coding RNA, 716 nt
Filed under: Bos taurus (domestic cattle)
Lineage: Eukaryota; Metazoa; Chordata; Mammalia; Artiodactyla; Bovidae
Description: long non-coding RNA NONBTAT020605
Source: RNAcentral
UUUUUCCUUUGUAAAAGCUCUUUACACCUGCUAACUUUAUUUUUUAUACCAAGCGUGACUGCUAGUCUUGAUUCCUUCAUCUCCCAGUCUUUUUCAGCUAGUUUCCUGGCUCCAUCCCAUUGAAGGCACUCCAGUAGGCUGCCUCACACCUGCUCUGUUGUCGACCAAGAUGGCUUUGCUUCCUUGACAUUUCACACCUCGGUGCGCAAUCCUGAACCACCUCUAGCUUCAUACCUGUUCUCGGCUUCAGAGUGUGCUCAUAGUCUUGCUGGUGACCACAGUUCACACUCAUUUCCUGGUUUUUCUCACUGAUGCUCAAACCAGACUUUAAUCCCUUAUUCUCUUAAGGGUCAUUCUUUGUAUGCAUUCCAAACCUUUUACGUUUUUCUCAGGGCAAGGAUUCGAGAUGUGGUUUGUCUCAGUUUAGAACAUACCUUUCUGUUUUACCUCUCACUGUCAACCAAUCGUGUAUUUAUUCACACGUUUCAGCAGCCAUCUGCCUCACCUUGUAUUCAGCUACUGGUUUGGGGUCCCAAAGAACAAGAUUUUACAUCUGUUUAUAGUAAACUGUUGUGCUAGUCCAUUCAUAGCACUUUGACUCCUAUUUUGAUCAUCUAGUCUUAUCCCUGACCCUUCUCAAUUUAAUGCUGCCCAAGACAGUGAUUAGCUUUCUUUCUACUCCUUUAUGAAAGCCAGUUUCUCACCAAAACUGAAAG